This 253-nucleotide ribosomal RNA is filed under the name uncultured bacterium. RNAcentral describes it as "partial 16S ribosomal RNA". It matches the Rfam family "Bacterial small subunit ribosomal RNA", at positions 524 to 776 of the family's 1533-position model. The record is from RNAcentral.
UACGUAGGCAGCAAGCGUUGUUCGGAAUUACUGGGCGUAAAGAGUGUGUAGGCGGUGCUCUAAGUCUGUUGUGAAAUCUCCCGGCUUAACUGGGAGGGUGCGGCGGAGACUGGAGUGCUAGAGUGUGGGAGAGGUAAGCGGAAUUCCUGGUGUAGCGGUGAAAUGCGUAGAUAUCGGGAGGAACACCGGUGGCGAAGGCGGCAUCCUGGACCAUUACUGACGCUGAGGCGCGAAAGCUAGGGGAGCAAACGGG